Molecule: long non-coding RNA, 1917 nt
Filed under: Homo sapiens (human)
Lineage: Eukaryota; Metazoa; Chordata; Mammalia; Primates; Hominidae
Description: HSALNT0139274
Source: RNAcentral
CUCUGACAUCUGUUUUGGGUUCUCAGCCUCAGCUGGCCCCACUGCCCUUUCUCCUGCGAUGACUCACAGGCCCCAUUCAGGCCACCGAGUGGCAGGUAUAGAGUGUCUCACCUCGGAGUACUGGGGAUGAGGGGUGAGCGUCCGGGCAGCAGGCGAGCCCCCAAGGCUGGCCCGCUGACACCGCUGGCGGCAAAAAUUUCUACGGCAGUUUCUCUUGAACCAGGCAGAAAACAACCCCUGAGGCUGCUCGGUGCUCCCUAGUCUCCUGGUUUGCAUUGCACAUCCAUUUUGAGCCUGCUGCUACUGAUGAGAAAAUGACCUCAAACAACUGCCCACUAAAGGUCCCAUGUUGUGACGAUGCCGGGGGCUUUCUGCAUAGCGCUCCGCUUCUCAGACUGAGCAGCUUCUGGAGUUUUGUACAAUGCCUGGGCCUGAGGAAACCUGCCAGGAUAUUCCUGGUAGGAUGAAUGAUCACCCCCCCGUAACAGACAGAGACACCCAGAGCAGAGACAGAGUUCACACUGUGGGAUCUGACUCAAUGUUUGAAUUCUUAGGAGCUCACCACUUCAUUGGAUUUCUCAUGACUGAAAAAAAGAGACCACUAGAAUCUGGAUGAGAUGAGAAUUUAGGUGCUGUUUUAGAUUCCCCUAGAUUAGGUGGAUACCCAAAAGAGUGUGUGGAAAAACUGCAGGGAGGGCCGGGCGCGGUGGCUCAUCCCUGUAAUCCCAGCACUUCAGGAGGACGAGGCAGGCGGAUCAUCUGAGGUCAGGAGUUCGAGACCAGCCUGACCAACAUGGAGAAACCCUAUCUCUACUAAAAAUACAAAAGUACCCGGGCAUGGUGGCACAUGCCUGUAAUCCCAGCUACUCUGGAAGGCUGAGGCAGGAGAAUCGCUUGAACCCAGGAGGUGGAGGUUGCAGUGAGCCAAGAUCGCACCACUGCACUCCAGCCUGGGCAACAAGAGUGAAACUUGGUCUCAAAAAAAAAAAAAAAAAAAAAAACCUGCAGGGAGUCUGAGUCCUCUGAAAUGGGAUGAAAAAUUUAUAUGUAAAAAUUGUGUAUAUUUCCUCCAGCCCCAGGAAGAGAGCCCUGUGUAUUCUGUUGGACAGAUCUGCUGAUUUUCAAGUUUCCAAGACUCCUCCAGACUUAAGAAGUACUGUUUUAUAUUAAAUAUUUUGCAAAGGUAAUUUUAAGAGGGAGCAUUGGUUUCCCUCAAUCACAGGCUCUGCAAAAUACAAUGCGCUGUCUACUGUAUACUUUGCCACAUGGAGCCUGGCUGCUUGACUCAUGUAACUCAACGUAAACAGUAACUGGGAGAGGACACACACGAGCAGGCAGGGUAUGCCCACAGGGUCGCUGCUUGACAUGGCUAUGCUGCGGCUAGCGUAUGGCUCUCCCUUGGAUGGAUCUAUUCUGUUAAUACCUCUGUCCCAGAAUUUGUAGUCCCAAAGUGGUGCUCUGGGAGGACGUAUUAAUGAAAAGAAAGAGCAUAAAUGAGAACCUUAAAGAGUUUACAGGGUUCAGGCUUGAUAAACCUCUUGGGUAAGAAAGGUAGGUAGAUAUAGAGCAAGAUUUGCAUCCAUCACAUUGGGAAGAAUGUACACUGGCCUGUGGGUACAAACCCCUUUCUGCCAGGUAGGGAAGGUUCUUGGGGGAAAGGUGGUUGUCAUAAUACAUCUUAAACAAUAACAAAGAUAACAGAAUCCCAUAGUUUCCCUUUCUGGAGUUGAUGUUUGGAUGCAAAUUACAGGCAUGUUUUGCCUUAAACAAAUCCAGUGUUAGGCCGGCGCGGUGGCUCAUGUCUGUAAUCCCAGCACUUUAGGAGGCCAAAGCAGGCAGAUUGCUUGAGCUCAGGAGUUCAAGACCAGCCUGGGCAACAUGGCAAAAUCCUGUCUCCACAAAAAAAUACAAAAAUCA